UACGUAGGUGGCGAGCGUUGUCCGGAUUUACUGGGCGUAAAGAGCGCGCAGGCGGUCGUGCAAGUCGCGUGUGAAAGCCCCCGGCUCAACUGGGGAGGGUCACGCGAUACUGUUCGACUCGAAGGCAGGAGAGGGAAGUGGAAUUCCCGGUGUAGUGGUGAAAUGCGUAGAUAUCAGGAGGAACACCGGUGGUGUAGACGGCUCUCUGGACCGUAACUGACGCUGAGACACGAAAGCGUGGGUAGCAAACAGG
RNAcentral lists this ribosomal RNA (253 nucleotides) under uncultured bacterium. Its description in RNAcentral is "partial 16S ribosomal RNA". It matches the Rfam family "Bacterial small subunit ribosomal RNA", at positions 524 to 776 of the family's 1533-position model. The record is from RNAcentral.